RNAcentral lists this ribosomal RNA (377 nucleotides) under Bacillus sp. (in: firmicutes). RNAcentral describes it as "bacterial SSU rRNA". It matches the Rfam family "Bacterial small subunit ribosomal RNA", at positions 90 to 460 of the family's 1533-position model. Lineage: Bacteria; Bacillati; Bacillota; Bacilli; Caryophanales; Bacillaceae. The record is from RNAcentral.
GAUUAGCGGCGGACGGGUGAGUAACNNGUGGGCAACCUGCCUAUAAGACUGGGAUAANNNNGGGAAACCGGAGCUAAUACCGGAUACGUUCUUUUCUCGCAUGAGAGAAGAUNGAAAGACGGUUUCGGCUGUCACUUAUAGAUGGGCCCGCGGCGCAUUAGCUAGUUGGUGAGGUAAUGGCUCACCAAGGCGACGAUGCGUAGCCGACCUGAGAGGGUGAUCGGCCACACUGGGACUGAGACACGGCCCAGACUCCUACGGGAGGCAGCAGUAGGGAAUCUUCCGCAAUGGACGAAAGUCUGACGGAGCAACGCCGCGUGAACGAAGAAGGCCUUCGGGUCGUAAAGUUCUGUUGUUAGGGAAGAACAAGUACCAGA